UACAGAACCCCCGAGCGUUAUCCGGAUUUAUUGGGCGUAAAGAGUCUGUAGGCGGACUGUUAAGUUCUUCGCUAAAUUCUCUUGCUUAACAUGAGAAGCGCGAGGAAAACUGGCAGACUUGAGGAUAUUAGGAGUUGAUGGAACCGAUGGUGUAGGGGUGAAAUCCAUUGAUAUCAUCGGGAACACCAAAAGCGAAAGCAUUCAACUAUAAUAAUCCUGACGCUGAGAGACGAAAGCGUGGGGAG
This 245-nucleotide ribosomal RNA is filed under the name uncultured bacterium. Its description in RNAcentral is "partial 16S ribosomal RNA". It matches the Rfam family "Bacterial small subunit ribosomal RNA", at positions 524 to 768 of the family's 1533-position model. The record is from RNAcentral.